GGGAGGAAUAUUGCCCAAUGGGCGCAAGCCAGAGGCAGCAACGCCGCGUGCGCGAAGAAGGCCUUCGGGUCGUAAAGCGCUUUUCCAAGGGAUGAGCAAGGACAGUACUUUGGGAAUAAGUCUCGGCUAACUACGUGCCAGCAGCCGCGGUAAAACGUAGGAGGCGAGCGUUAUCCGGAUUCACUGGGCGUAAAGGGCAAGUAGGCGGUUGUACAAGUUGGGCGUGACAGGUCCCGGCUUAACUGGGAAGGGUCGCCCAAGACUGUGCGACUAGGGGGCAGGAGAGGGGAGCGGAAUUCCUAGUGUAGCGGUGGAAUGCUCAGAGACUAGGAGGAACACCAGUGGCGAAAGCGGCUCUCUGGCCUGUACCCGACGCUGAGAGGCGAAAGCUAGGGGAGCAAACGGGCUUAGAAACCCCAGUAGUCC
This 426-nucleotide ribosomal RNA is filed under the name uncultured bacterium. RNAcentral's name for it is "bacterial SSU rRNA". It matches the Rfam family "Bacterial small subunit ribosomal RNA", at positions 354 to 796 of the family's 1533-position model. The record is from RNAcentral.